RNAcentral lists this ribosomal RNA (301 nucleotides) under uncultured bacterium. RNAcentral's name for it is "partial 16S ribosomal RNA". It matches the Rfam family "Bacterial small subunit ribosomal RNA", at positions 509 to 807 of the family's 1533-position model. The record is from RNAcentral.
CAGCCGCCGCGGGAAAACGUAGGUGGCAAGCGUUGUCCGGAAUUAUUGGGCGUAAAGGGCUCGCAGGCGGUUUCUUAAGUCUGAUGUGAAAGCCCCCGGCUCAACCGGGGAGGCUCAUUGGAAACUGGGAAACUUGAGUGCAGAAGAGGAGAGUGGAAUUCCACGUGUAGCGGUGAAAUGCGUAGAGAUGUGGAGGAACACCAGUGGCGAAGGCGACUCUCUGGUCUGUAACUGACGCUGAGGAGCGAAAGCGUGGGGAGCGAACAGGAUUAGAUACCCCCGUAGUCCCUGUCUCUUAUAC